This 269-nucleotide unclassified non-coding RNA is filed under the name Hevea brasiliensis (rubber tree). Lineage: Eukaryota; Viridiplantae; Streptophyta; Magnoliopsida; Malpighiales; Euphorbiaceae. The record is from RNAcentral.
CACAGGCACGAUAAUCAGGCUGUGUUUAUAUAAAACACAGCUAAAGAACUGCUGAAACAAAAUUAAAACCCAUCAACAAUGGCGAAUUUAGAGGCCACAGUAGUGAUUCCAAAGGUGAUCACAUUCCUCUCCUCUCUCCUCCAACAAGUAGCGGAAUCGAACGAUGUUACCCAUCAGCUAUACCCACAAAGGAUCUCGGUGUUCCAUGGCCUCACCAGGCCUAACAUAUCUAUUCAAAACUAUUUGGAAAGAAUCUUCAAGUACGCCAA